Rattus norvegicus (Norway rat) is the source of this 9408-nucleotide non-coding RNA. Lineage: Eukaryota; Metazoa; Chordata; Mammalia; Rodentia; Muridae. The record is from RefSeq and is a predicted model, not a curated record.
AGUAGAGGAAGGAAAAAAAUGAUCCCUGUACUGACACAGGGAAAGAGAAUGUAGGAGAGUGACGUCCGGGCCCCGCCUCCCCCUCCGGCCACGUGCAAAGACUUGAAAGGAAAGAGGGAGACCGCGAGCCUGCUGGAUACAAGCCAGCAGAGCUGACCUAGUGGGAAGGAAUCCUGACCUCAUCCUAAAAUGGGAAAUAGGUUCUUUUGUCUUCAAGGAACUUUGGCCGAUUUCUGUGCUUUCCCCAUCUGCUGACUGAGCUCCCUCACACUGGUUGAGGACCACUGGGAAGCCAGAAAAGGCUCUGCUGGAGAAGAUGGCUGCCUUCAGGAGUUGAGAGUCCAUCUUGAUGCCCAGGAAAGGAAUGAAGCUCCCCCCACACCACUCCCAAUCUGCCACUCAUAUAAGGUGACUUCCUGUGAACUAAAGAUCCAAGGGGCUACAAUGGUCAAAAAAGAGAGGAAAAUGGAACCACAGCCACUCGUACUUUCUCACUGGAAGGAAGUCAACAGAAGCCCCGCUUGACAGGGGGGUAGCACUUGCCUGGGAACACAGCAAAAACAAUGGCAUUUGGUGGGAGCUGGAGUGGCUUCACUGUGUACUGUGGUGACUGCUAGCCCCACAGAAGGAAGGUGUCUUCUGGUGUCUGUUCUGUGUUGUGGUGGUGUUGGCCUAGAGAGAUACAGACUUGAUAGACCCAGGUUGAAUUUCACUCCUGCCUCAUCUCGGCUCCCAUUACACAACCCCAAAGACCAUCCUUGAUGGGAAAGAAGAUGCAAAUCGAUCCCAGAGGCGGCCAUCGGUUGAGAGGGGGGCAUGAGCAAAGAACUGUGAACUUGAGAGGAGCCAAAGUAAAAAAAGAAAAUUAGGUAAAUCAAGGAGUGUUUAUUGGGAACGGGCUCUGCAGAAGUCAUGGCAAGGUGCCUGAGAGGUUCUGGGUACCACCUGACCCCCGCUCACUGUGUGACACUGCCUUCCUCUGGGCCUCGGUUCUUAUAUCUGUAAGACGACACCACUGGAUCUGAUCUCUGAGAUUAUCUCCCUUUAAGAAGUUUGCAAUCUUUUGGCAAAAGGGGCGGUAGAAUUAAGUAGCCAAGAGGCUGAAUUUUCAUCCUGGAAGAAAUUUCAACCUGCAAGAAGGGCUUGAAGGAGCCCAAACGGAAAUAAAGCAAGCAGACUUUGCCUGGUAAGAUUCGAGGACAACAGGAAUCAACAGACCUUUCUCAGGGCCCUGAGAGUUAAAGGUCAGAUCUCAGGGGUCUUGCCACAGCAAAGGAAAGCUAACUAAUACAAUUCCGUAAAGCAGAAUGUGGAGGUCCCAGACCUUGCAGGUGUGAACCGGAAGGACCCGGAAGGACCCGGAAGGACCCGGAAGGACCCGGAAGGACCUGGAAGGAAUAAAGGGAAGUUCUCAGAGAGGUCUGGAGAAGAACCUGUACUGGAAGAUUCAGCCUCACCACCUACCCUGGGACACUGGAUGGUAGGCUUGAGCUCUGUCCCCAGGUCCUGUUGGGGCCCCCCCUUUGAACUGAAAGGGAGAGGGGCAGAAGAAGCCAGUCCAUGCUAUGGUUUUCACAUACGACUUUCCUUGGGAAUUCGUGACAGGGGCUGACACGUGGCAGAACAAACUUUCUGGGGUGGCUCCUAGGAAGAGUAGGGUCAUCAUCAUGCUCUGCAUCUGCGAGCAAAGACUCUCUGCCUUCCAUCAGAUUCAGCUCUGACAGGCUUUUGUCUGUGGUUCACACUUCUGCCAAGCUUCUGCCAUAUCCUGCUGGGCCUAAUUAACAAAUCCAGAGCCCACGGUUUGGGCCAACCAAGAAAGAGCUGAGUGCCGCAAGGAGGGUGGCAGAGGCAGACAUUCUCCAGCUGGGCAGUUUGGACUGGCACACAGCAUCAUGCGGGGCUGGCUGCAGGUGUUCCAGAUGGCAGCCUGGGGUUCCCUUAUCUCCAAUGCUGGCUUUUGUUCACAACAUUACACGUCCGCUAGCCUCACCACACCCUCAUGGCUGUCCAAGCACGCUCGAGCCCGCAGCAGCAGGGUAGAUAAAGGCAGUGUUUAAGGCUUCUUUCUUUUUAAAAGGAAGGCAGACCGGAGUUGUUCCAGGAAGUGCUUCAGAUGAACAGAAUGGAGCUAUGUAACAUCGUUGUGUGAGUGGCUUCUAGAAUAUCAGCCAGGGACCCAUGACAUUCAUGAACCCCUUAGCCACAGAAACAUGGUCUGAGAAAAUCCACCACUGGGUGAGGUCCUUGGAGUGCGAUGGCACUCGACUCUAAAGGUAAAUCUGCUGGCUAGGUGUUCAGGGACACACUUGUCUAGGGGUGAGGGAUAGCUCAGUGGUUAAGAUCACUGGCUGCUCUCCCAGGGAACCCUGCUUUGAUUGCCAGCACCAGCAUGGUGUCUCACAAACAACUACAACUCCAAUUCCAGGGAAGCCGAUACCUUUUUCUGGCCUCCACAGUCACCAGGAUUACACACACACACCUGCACACCAUCACCGCCACCCCAGCCACCACCACCCAUGGAGGCUGCCAUGACGAGGCCAGGAAGGAACAGGAAGAAACCAUCAGGAACUGAUCCACAUCUUGAGACACCUCAGUGUAGUCAUAUAUGAACAUUUCUCAAGAACGAGUACACUCAGAUACAUGAUAAACUUCAAAACAAAUGAAAAUUUGGGGGGCUUCUCCACCGUAUACUAAGCUCUGCUCUGGGGUCUCAGAGUACACAGUAAACACAGUCAGGCAGCCAACCAGGCAAUCGCAACACUGUCUGAGGUGCGGUGCAGCUCCAUAGGAAGGUUUCCUGCCUGGACCAUUCCUCCCUCAGCUGCAGGACCAUAACAGUGCCCAGGUUCCUUUACUUGGCUGAGAUCCCUUGAUCAUUUUAAGCCAGUCUGAUAUAAGUAGAGAUGCCAUGGAUAACAUCUGGACAGAUAGCUCAAAGGGAGCCUUUAAACUUGAGCUUUCCUCUUUUCCUCACUGUUGGACCAGGCAGCGGACCCUCCAAUGCCAUUUUGGAUCACGGGGUGAUCUUGUAGCUGAGAACCCUCCAGUGAGGAUGCUGCAGGAGAAAGAGAAAGGCUCCCAGAUGACUUGGGUGACUAACCGCCUUGCCAGCCUCAGGCUGCCCCUCCAGACAAUUGUUUACAGGGGCAAGCGGAUGUGUGCAUUGAAAUCAGUGCUCAGUUUGGUGCUCAACCACUCACAGCUCAGCUAAUCACACGGUAAGACAGAGAUAAAGACAGGGUUCCACGGAAGAUCUAUAAGGUGCAGGCUCGCAGGCUGUCAUCAGAGAGCACUGCUUAGACAAGGAUGCCACUUGAGUUGAGUCUCGGAAAAUAAGUAGUGCUUGGCUGAGAAAUACAGCGAGUCUUUUAGAAUGUUAUGAGAGUUCAACCUGGUGUGCCUAUAUAAUCAGAUUGUUUAAACCCAGCCAAAGAAACCCUCUUUUAUCCUCACGGAACAAACCAUCUGACCUAUUGGAUGAGUAUCAGUUAGCAUUUCUUCCUUCUACUGGCUAUUUGAUCACUCGUUGAUAGGUGGGAUGGGUGAUACUUUAGUUCUUUACUUGAUAUAAAAAAAUCUCCUAGUAAAAAUUAAACCUCGCAUUUUAUGAGAUUUUAUUUUAAAAGGAAAGAUUUGUUUUAAUUGCGAGUAUGUGUUUUUGUGUGUGUGCCUAUGUGUGGGUAUGAGCACACGAAUGCCACUGAAGGCUAGAAGAGCUAGACCCAGGAGCUAGCCUUUCAGGUGACUCACGUCUGUCACCUUGUGUUGGCCCUGGGAACCAAGCUAGUCUUCUGCAAAAAGUGACAAAUAUUCUUAACCUCUGAACUAUUAUCUCUCUGCCUCUGGGACUUCUGUCAACAAAAGUAAAUUAUAAAAAGUAUAUAAAAUGUUGCAGAGACAUGUCUAAAUAUUGGGAUGCUCAAUAUCACUAAUAUAUACAUUUCUCUCAAAUUAAUCAGCAGGUUAAACAUCAUAGGGCAUUUGAUAGAAAUUGACGUGAUUAUCCGAAAAUUAUAUGGAAGCAAGCCAUUUGGCUUCAGCUAUCAAUUUGACACAAACCUAGAGUAACCUGGAAGAAGGAACUCAGGUGAAUUACCUCCAUCAGAUCGCUUUGAGACCGUGUUGCAUUUUCUUAAUUGCUAAUUAAUUAAUUAAUGGAAGGCCUGGCCCACAGUGGACUGUGCAUUCCAUAGACAGCUAGGCCCUGGGCUGUGCAAGAAAGCAGGCUGAGCAAGGCAGAGGGAGCAGGCCAGAGGGAGCAGGCCAGAAGGAGUAGGCUGGGGGAGCACUCCAGAGGGAGCACACCAGAGGGAGCAUGCCAGAGGGAGCAUACCCAUACGGAGCUUUUCUCCUCUGUGUUUCUCAUUUCAUGCUCCUGCCUUUUCUUCCACUAGUUUCUUUUGGCCAUGAUGUUUAUCAUAGCAGCAGAAACAAAACCAGAACCCACCAUUAACCUAGAACAGCUUGAAUUAUCUUGAAAAAAAAAAGUUCUCUUUGAGACACAAGCCACCAGAGUUCAAGGGUUCCUCAGAGAUGUGCAAUACUGAAGGGCAGCAUGGAGCCGAUAUAGACAAAGAAAGAAGAUCAAAGGAAGGACGUGUGGAAAGAUGUGCACACCUAGGUCACCCGUUGGUUUGCAUCUCUGUCAGCAAGGCAGGUCAUGAGGGGAAAACAAUCUCACUGAACAGUGCUGAAGGAGCAGAGAGGACGUCUCAGGAAAUACCCCUAAGAGAAGAACAUCCACAUAUAUGUGAGGAAUGUCAAUGCAAAUGGUGGAAUUCUUUCUUGACUCCUUGCGUGAGCCAGGCACUGCUCUGGGUCCUUAGAAUACCACACACGUAGAAAAGAAGCCAAAUCGGCACCCUGCUUCACGCUGGGCACAAAGAACUGACGUUGGAUCGCAGACCCACACUUCUACUGGGAAACACAGAAUAUUUUUUAUCGUUUUUGGAUAAACAGAUUUUUUUAAAGUAGGACACAUAAAACAACAAUAAUAAAAGGGAAAAUGGAUAAAUUGGACUUUGUCGAAAUUAAAAAUCUGUUUUCAUCAACAGAGAAGGACAUCACUGAGAAAAUUAAUAGUGAGGCAAACCCAGGGGAAAAACUCUAAAAUAAAGAACAAAGAAUUUGUGUUCACGAUAUAUAAAGAAUUAGUAUGUGGCUGGAGAGAUGGUUCAGGUUAGAACACUGGCUGCUCUUCCAGAGGACCCAGGUUCAAUUCCCAGCACCCACAUGGCAGCUCACAACUGUCUGUAACUCCAGUUCCAGAGGAUCUGACAUUUUUACACAGAUCUACAUACUGGCAAAAGACCAAAUGCAUAUGAAAUAAAAGUUAAAACAAAGGAAUUGUGGUUGGGGAUUUAGCUCAGUGAUAGAGCGCUUGCCUAGCAAGCGCAAGGCCCUGGGUUCAGUCCCCAGCUCCGAAAAAAAAGAGAAAAGAAAAAAAAAAAACCAAAGGAAUUAGUAAAAGAGUCAAUCCAAUGGCGAGAUACAAAGGCUUCAAGAAAAUACCAUAUAUGAAUGUCAUUCUAUGCAAAUAUAUGCAAAUAUAAAGAAGCACAUGAAAACAUGUUCAGCACUGGGCACGGUUGCUGGUGCCUAUUAUCCCAGCACUCAGGAGGUGGAGGCAGGAGCUUCCUGAGUUCAAGCCCUCCCUCAACUAUAUAGUGAGUUUGAGGUCAGCCUGGUCUACAUGAGAUCCUAUCCCAGAAAAUAAAACUCAAGACCCAAAAGGGGUUGGAGAGAGAGCUCCAGUAGUAAAAUGCUUGCCUUGUACGCAGGAAGAGCUCAGUUUGAAGAAGAGCCCCAGAAACAAUGGCUGGGUAUGGUGGAACUUGCAAUUGCAGCCCCGGGAAAGCAGACACAAACGGAUUCCUGGGCUCACCGGCAAGUGGGUCGAGCUUGGUGAGCUCCAGGCUGGUGAGAGACCCUGUCUGGAAAAGCAAGGUAGACUGUGUCUAAGGAGCAACACUUGAGGAUGUCCUCUGGCCUCCACAUACAUGUGCAUCUGCAUACAUGUGCACACAUACCACCACAAACAUGCACAAUCACAUACACACACAGAGACCCCCCCCCCACAAAUAAAUAAAAUAAGAUGUAGAAAGAAAACUUGGGAUUGCGUUAAGCCUGAGAGAGCUUGCCUAAUGUACAAUGGGGUCAAUCUCUAGUACUGCAGUAUUGAAAGAAAAAUUUAUUAUGGAAAAAUGUAAAAUAAAAUUAAAACAAAAACCAUCAUGUUACUCAUCCACUAGAAUGGCUAAAAUUAUGAAAACCAACCUGAAUUUUUGAGAAGGUAUAGAGUAACUGGAACUCCCACACAUUGCUGUAAAAGGGUCAUGUGGUUUCAAAAGCUUGGCAGUCUCUAAUGUUACACACACACACACCUGCCGGUUAUGGUGAAUUUUAGGUGUCAGACUGACUGGGCUAAACGAUUCUCAGAGCGCUAGAAAGCAUCGUUUUGAGGAAUGUCUUGUAUAAGUGUUUCUAGGAGCAAUCAACAAGUAAGGUUGCCUUGGCAGUGGCCUCAGUGUGGCGGUCUGAAUGAGAAGGGUCCCCAUAUUUGAAAACCUGGUCCUCAUGUGGUGGAACUACUUGGGAAGGAUUGAGAGGUGUGGCUUUGUUGGAGGAGGCAUGUCACUGUGGGCCAUUACCAGCAUGCUCCUCCUGCCUCCCCUGUGAUUAAGCUGUGAGCUCGGCUGUCCCUGCCACCCCACCUUCGCCCCACCAUCAUGGGCUCUAACCCCCUACAACUGCAAGUCAGAUGAACAUUUUGUUUUAUAAGUUACCUUGGUUACGGUGCCUGAUCACAGCAAUAGAAAAGCAACUAAGAUACUCGGUUAACAGGUUGAUCCGAACAGAAUGUAGGGGAAGAGCAGUUUGCCUCCAGUCUGUGUUGGGACAUCCAUCUUUUCCCGUCUCCAGACACGAAUUUCUUGUUCUUGGGCUUCCAGUUGUGAAUCGUACCACGUUUCCUUUGGAUCUUCAGCUUGGACGUGGCAAAUCAUGUUCCUUCCUGACUAUCCCGGUGUGAGCCAGUUCCUAUAACUUAUGCCCGUGUCUGUCUCUUUCUAAAUAACCAAGUUUCUGUUAUCUAUGUAUCCUUCUACCUACCCAGCCAUCUAUCUCUGUACCUACCGCCCCCUAGUGGUUCAGAGCCUGUGGGGACUCCUGACUGAUUUACUACCUGUGUCAGAAGCACACCAAAGAAAUGAAGGUGUCUGUCUAUUCCAAUAGUGGCAACCAAUUGCUCACUACAGUUUUAUUUAAAACAGUCCAAACUGGAACGGUGGCAUGUGACUUGUCACCCCACCUAUGACUUGUCCUUCCCUUUGUUUGCGACUGUCCUUUCAGGAAAAGCUCCCGGCAUGGCUAAAGCCUGACUGACCACGUUUUUCUUUUAUGAGUCAUCUUUAGCUGUCGCGUUUAAGAAAUCUUCGGCUGUGACAAGUUUCCCCUGUGUUUUCUGCUAGACCCAUUACAUUUAUGUAAAGAAUGACCGCACGCAGGACAUUCUAACAGCCUCAUUGUGAUCCCCCAGGUGAAACCAUUUUAGCAUCUCCAUUUACUUUCAGAGGUCCUGAUAUAUUGGUCACCCUGCCCCGCACGGCUAGUCAGCAUGGGGACAGGAGGCAAAGCAGAACACGCUGAGUUCGAACUGCAGGAAUCAUAAGGUUAAUGGCGAUAACGUUCUCCAGGGAAGGAGCCAGGAGCUCUCUCUCAUUAGUCCUCAGUGCAGACUUCUCUCCCAGACAUUCCCCAGCCCUCGAAUACAGCAUCCAGUAUAUUCUGUAUACAGAAGGCCUCUCUCUCUUUUACGAUUGUCUUCCUAUCUGUCUUGCUUUGGGUGUUUUUGGUUUUUUGUUCCUUGCACCUUUUAAUCUGGCUGGUUCUGAGCCUUGAAAUCCUUAUCUCGGAUUUCACAGUAGGCAUCUAAAGGCAACACUGCGUAGAUUCAAGUAAGUAUCCUUGGACCUUUAAACAUGCCAAAAAUUUUAAGAUCUGGUAAAUACAGUUGGGCCUGGAAACUUCAGAUCAAUCCAAGGGCUCCAGGGAGGUGGGGAGGGGCCCACUGAGGGUGGAAGCGGCCAGCAGUUGAUAUCCUCUGAGUGGCUUGUUAGCGCCCUCUCCUCUUGGUAAUAGUAUCUGUGAGACUCAUGGCAUCUGCGAUGGCGGCAGGCCCAGGGGUGGGGGACAAGCAUCUCCUUUGUCAGAUCUGGCCAGUUGGUGGCUGAGGGCACCUAUGGGAUAAGACUUGGGUACCAUGAGGCCACCAUGAGAGGAAGCUGAGGCUGGCCUUUGGAGGAGAAGACACUGUAUGGCAGACGCCAGAAUGCUAGAUCACAGCCAAUCAGAGCCCAGCAGCCUCCUUCCACUGACUGCAGAAACAUGAGUGGAUCCAGAAAGACUGAGCCUAGCCUUCGGCGUUGGCCUAUGGAAUUCUUGGAUAAAAACUAAUAAUUGUCUGAAGGCACUAGGUUUUUAUGAUUGUAGUGGUUUGAAUUGGUUGGGCCCCCACAGACUCAUGUGUUCGAAUCUUUGGCCCACAGGGAGUGACACUGUUAGAAGGUGUGUCCUUGUUGGAGGAAGUGUGUCACUGUGGAGGUGGACUUUGAGGUCUCAGACUCUGCCCAGUGCAGAAGAGACCCUCCUGCUGGUUGCCUGCAGAAGCCAGUCUUCUCCUAGCUGCCUUCAGAUGUAGAUGUAGAACCCUCAGCUUCUUCUCCAACACUGUCUGGAUGGUGCCAGGCUUCCUGCCAUGACGAUAAUGGACUGAACUCUGAAACUGCAAGCCAACAAGUGCUUAACUGCUGAGCCAUCUCCACAGCCCUUCAUGUGUAUGAGUGUUAUGCUCGUCUACACGCCAAGUGCAUGCAGUGUCCACAGAGUCCAGAAAAGGACUUUGGAUUUCCUGAAACCGGAGAGCGGCCAGUGCUCUUAAUCAAUAUACCCUCUCUCCAGCCCCAGGGCAAUAUAUCUGAACUAUCAGCCAGGACUCCUCGUCCAGGCUGGUGCUAUGGUUUGAAUAUGGUGGGUCCCUCUGCAACCACUGUUGAAAACUGAUUGCCACAGGAGGCGGCUUCAGGGCUGUCUAGGGAGCUCAGUGCCUCUCUCCCGGAACUGGAUUAUUUCCUAUGAGAAUGCUGCUCUAAGCAAGGCUGCCCCUGUGUUUUCUAUUGUCUUCUGUGCUAGUUUCUCUGUCUACCACCUCCUUUUGGACUUCCUGCCUCUGGAGACUGUGAGCUAAAUAACUUCAUUCCUUGAUAAAUCACCCAACCUUUGGCAUCUAUUGUAACACAGAAAAAGGAGCGAGAUAGACAAGUAGGCAUGACAAUGAUAUUUAUGGAGUCUUGCUAAGAGAAAUGAAAUCCCGAAUGCGAAGUAAUUAAUACAGUGCCUGGCACAUAA